This 655-nucleotide ribosomal RNA is filed under the name Enterobacter sp. B11-352. Its description in RNAcentral is "bacterial SSU rRNA". It matches the Rfam family "Bacterial small subunit ribosomal RNA", at positions 812 to 1467 of the family's 1533-position model. Lineage: Bacteria; Pseudomonadati; Pseudomonadota; Gammaproteobacteria; Enterobacterales; Enterobacteriaceae. The record is from RNAcentral.
UCGACUUGGAGGUUGUUCCCUUGAGGAGUGGCUUCCGGAGCUAACGCGUUAAGUCGACCGCCUGGGGAGUACGGCCGCAAGGUUAAAACUCAAAUGAAUUGACGGGGGCCCGCACAAGCGGUGGAGCAUGUGGUUUAAUUCGAUGCAACGCGAAGAACCUUACCUACUCUUGACAUCCAGAGAACUUAGCAGAGAUGCUUUGGUGCCUUCGGGAACUCUGAGACAGGUGCUGCAUGGCUGUCGUCAGCUCGUGUUGUGAAAUGUUGGGUUAAGUCCCGCAACGAGCGCAACCCUUAUCCUUUGUUGCCAGCGGUUAGGCCGGGAACUCAAAGGAGACUGCCAGUGAUAAACUGGAGGAAGGUGGGGAUGACGUCAAGUCAUCAUGGCCCUUACGAGUAGGGCUACACACGUGCUACAAUGGCGCAUACAAAGAGAAGCGACCUCGCGAGAGCAAGCGGACCUCAUAAAGUGCGUCGUAGUCCGGAUUGGAGUCUGCAACUCGACUCCAUGAAGUCGGAAUCGCUAGUAAUCGUAGAUCAGAAUGCUACGGUGAAUACGUUCCCGGGCCUUGUACACACCGCCCGUCACACCAUGGGAGUGGGUUGCAAAAGAAGUAGGUAGCUUAACCUUCGGGAGGGCGCUUACCACUUUGUGA